RNAcentral lists this long non-coding RNA (1979 nucleotides) under Ananas comosus (pineapple). Its description in RNAcentral is "long non-coding RNA (ACOM_LNC013292)". The record is from RNAcentral. Lineage: Eukaryota; Viridiplantae; Streptophyta; Magnoliopsida; Poales; Bromeliaceae.
CUGUAUGAAAUUAACCAUACUUUUAAAUAAGGAUAAUUGCCUAUAUACGCCUCAUACGUUUGAAAAUAUUCGAUUUACCCCUUUUUUUUUUUUUCUUUCUAAAAUACCCCUCAUAUGUUCCACCGUUAUUCCAAAAUAUUCCCGUAAUUAUCCCCUGUUAAACUAACUCGGAUUAAACAUGGAUUAAAUGUAUACCAUAGUUAAAACCUAAUUAAAAUACCUAUUUUGCCCAUACUUUAUUAAACUAUUCUCUUAAGUUAUCAUCUCUUUCUCUCAACUUAGCCUCAUUACCCUCAAGCCCGGCGCCGUCGCCUCCGGCAUCCAGUCGCCACCACCGCCAACCUCGGCGCCGGCUCCUCCACCUUCACCUCUGCGCCCAAGAAGCCUCGCCUCAUUCGCACAAAAAAAAACGGCUCGCCCGAGGCCGUCUGCGUGCUAUCCGCCCGAGGCCGUUCGCAUGCCUGGAGCAAGAGGGCGCGGUGUUGCGCGCGGAGGGCUGAAAUGGCGCAGUGUUGUGCGCGGAGGGCAGCAGCGGGUUUGCGCAGUCCACGAGGCUAGUUUGGCCUCAUGGACCGAAUGCGGUGGACCUCCCUCUCAUUAUAUAUAUAUAUAUAUAUAUAUAUAUAUAUAUAUAUAUAUAUAUAUAUAUAUAUAUAUAUAUAUAUAUAUAUAUAUAAUUUCAUUUAUAAAUAUAUAUUCAUCAUAGUAUUUAUUUAAUAGAAAUAUAUGUAUAUUAAUAUUUUAAUUUAUAAUUUAUAAAUAUUUAUUAAUAUUUUUAAAUAUAUAACUCUUAUAUAUUAUUAAUAUAUGUUUAUUAUAAUUUAAAUAUAUUUAAUCUAUAUAUAUAAAUUAUAAUAAUAAUAUAUAUAGUAUAUUAAUUAUUAUAUAGCUGAAUUUUUUAUCCCGAAUUUUUAAUUGGUGAAUGUAUAAUACCCGUAUAAAUCACGUAUCCGAAUAAUUGCCGAAUUCGUUUUCUAGCCGUAUUUUUCAACGAAUUUAAAAAUUAAAAGACGAAUUAUAUCCGUACCGAAUUUUUCCCGAAUCCGAAUUAACUAACUAUACCUCCAGUCACCAAUGUUGGUUUAGCUGCGAUUGAUCUCAUCCGUUCAUCUGCUCGCUCCCGACGUGCUUAAUUAAUUAAUUGAUAUUUGAAGAGCAAAUAAGAAAAGCAUUUGCUCUAUGAAAGGUAUAUAAGAAAAGUUAGUUACGGUAUAAGGGUAUAUUGGAAUUGGCAAAAUGAUAAUUUUUCAAAGAUAACGGCAACUGUUAACAUCUCACUAACGGAAUUUAACUCUAGGGGUAUAUUAGAAAAAACUUGGAACAUAAGAAAGGUAUUUUCAAUAUUAGCUUUCUAAGAGGGGUAAAUAAGAAAACCGGAAACUUUUUAUGGGUAUAUAGGCAAUUGCCCCUUUUCAAUAUAUCCCUCUGAUUUAUUACCAUUAGAAAAUUAUUUAUAUUUUAAUAGCAAAUAAGUAAAAUGUCAAUUUUGACAUCAUCAAUAUAUCUCUCCAAAAGCCGCAAUAGUUAUAAUUAUGCAAAAAUGUCCUCCCAACAAAUUUUCGGUGACCAUUUUCUUCCUCAUUUUUUUCUUUUUUAAAAUCCAACCCAUUCCACCAUUGUUGCAACCUCUUUUCUCACACCUUUUUUCAUAAACUUUUUUUCUUGCGCAAAACAAAAAAAGAAAAGGAAAUUGAAUGGGAAAACAACACGCGUUUGAUAUGGGUAAAGCAACAUGCGUCGUGAAUAAAUAAAGAUGAAGAAAUUCAAGUUAUGGGUUCAAAACUUACAUGAAGGAGAGAGAGGAAAAGAAAGAGGAAAAGGAAGAAAAAGAAGAGUUCUCAUUGCUAGUGUUUUGAUUAAGAGAAAAUGUAUAAUAUAAAAGGGAUAAAAUUAUGGAGUUAUCUGAUAAACUAAUUAGGGUUAAGUAUUUAACCUAUAAUUAACUAAAUUUUUCUAACAGAUUCUAACGGUAUGAACAU